AUUGAACGCUGGCGGCAGGCCUAACACAUGCAAGUCGAACGAGUGGCGGACGGGUGAGUAAUGUCUGGGAAACUGCCCGAUGGAGGGGGAUAACUACUGGAAACGGUAGCUAAUACCGCAUACCAUCGGAUGUGCCCAGAUGGGAUUAGCUAGUAGGUGGGGUAAUGGCUCACCUAGGCGACGAUCCCUAGCUGGUCUGAGAGGAUGACCGCCCACACGGGACUUGAGACACGGUCCAGAUCCCUACGGGGGGCAGCAUUGGGAAAUAUUGCACAAGGGGCGCAGGCCUGAUGCGGCCAGGCCGCGUGUAUGAAGAAGGCCUUCGGUUUGUAAAGUACUUUCAGCGAGGAGGCUUUACUCGCAGAAGAAGCACCGGCUAAUCCCGUGCCAGCCGCCGCGGUAAAC
RNAcentral lists this ribosomal RNA (405 nucleotides) under uncultured bacterium. RNAcentral's name for it is "partial 16S ribosomal RNA". It matches the Rfam family "Bacterial small subunit ribosomal RNA", at positions 30 to 525 of the family's 1533-position model. The record is from RNAcentral.